Molecule: long non-coding RNA, 321 nt
Filed under: Elaeis guineensis (African oil palm)
Lineage: Eukaryota; Viridiplantae; Streptophyta; Magnoliopsida; Arecales; Arecaceae
Description: long non-coding RNA (EGUI_LNC022423)
Source: RNAcentral
UCUUCAGCAAAUCUCUUCAAAUAUGACUUCUAGUAUUUAUAUUUUUAAAAAAUUCUUUUGCUGCCUUUACUUUGUUUAGGUCAUGUUGUAUGCUUCUAGAUUGUUGUAAAAACAGCUUUCUAGAAAAAUAUCAUUAUAUAUUUUUCCCCUAUAUUUUUUUCAUCCAUAUCUUGCUUUUUCUGCUGACCUUGUUUAGCUCUGAUCUUAGGUUUUGAAGAAUUAUAUAUUAUAUUAGAAAACUAAACAACUGACAAUAUGUUUCUCUAAAAUGGACUAUAACUAAGACACACCCCAAUGCAUGUACAUGCAAAAAAAGGCAAC